GUGAAAGUGGUGAAAAAGGUAGUAAAUUCAUCUCUAUGAUUCCUGAAUAUACCCUGAUUGAAUCAUUUAAAAUAAACCACAGAGAUUGCAAGAUGUGAAUGAGCUUUGAUCAUUUAGUAAAACUGGUUAAUUCAGUUGGCCAUUGUGGGCUAAAAAGUUAGUUAAAGGUGAUAAAAAGCUUUAUUUUAUUAAAAACAUUCCUGUUUGGUAAAAUAAUUAAUGUUUUAUAUACAUUUUUACUUAAUAAUUGUCAUUUUAAUCAAAUUUUAUUAGAAAUAAUAAGUUGAAGUCACUUUGGGUAAGCCACUUAAAGGUACGGUAGGCCUACGUGUGUGUACAAGUUAAGAUCAGGAUGACACCACCUCCGCCUCCUUUUGUGCCAGGAAAAACCCUGAAAAUAAACCUUAUGAAUGUAAAUGACAGUUUUAGGAGAUGUAAGCUGCUGCUCAUUCCCCCUGAUAUUUAACACCCUGUCUCUCUUGUCUUUGUCAGAUCGUUUGUUUGGAGUCUCUGUUUGUUCCAACCAUUGUGUUCCUUCAUGCUCCUCCAGAGACUACUAUCCGGAUUGUCCGUGCCAGUGUUGUGACUCUUGCAUCUUUCACUGUGUGAUGUUGUCCGGGGCCCGAGGAGUUCUUACAAACAGAUUGAUGGCAACAAUGUACAUGGAUGGUUCAGGGGUGAAGAAGGCCUUUAAAAAACACGGCUAUGUUGUGUUAUAAUAGGUGGCAAUUGCAUCAGAGGGAGAAGACUUCACAGUGCCUCCCUAUACAUGGAUGUCAGCUGACGUCAAUCACUUGUCUUCCGCCAUUUUGAGGACCUGAAGUGGUCGCAAAAGAACUAGAAGCUAUGCCUUCAAUAUGCUGUGAGCAUCAAAAUCGCUAUUUUAAGAACACUAAGAAGGCUCAACACAACAUGAUAUUUUGCUCGAAGUAUCGCCUGUGUCUCUACACGUGAACUCGAGCAUUGAGAACAUUGUUUGUGAACACAGAGUUAACUAAAAAGAAGGUUUUGAACAACUCACUUUGGAUGAUUUGGCGUCCGCUCGCCGCUUUCUUCCCAGUCAAGAUGUAUCGAUCUCCAAUUGCGACGUAAGGAGGGAGGAGAGUAAAGAUGAUAUCUCCUAAGGCAUAGUUCCUUAAAAAUGCACGGAUAAGUCGUUGUUUUGUUGCAAGUGAAAAACAAUAUUGACCUUCUAGUUGAAAAAGGAGCCUUAUAUGAGAUUCAUUCAUUCGCAUUCGGAAAUCGAUUAUUUACGUCUGGCAGAGAUGACGAGCGGACACCAUAACAGCCAAAGUCAGUUGUACAAAACCUUUCUUUUUAGUAAACUCUGUGUACAAAAACAAUGUUCUCAAUGCCCGCGUUCAUGUGUAGAGAUCCAGGUGAUACUUCGAGCAAAGUUUCAUGUUGUGUCGCGCCUUCUUAUGUUGUAAAAUAGUGGUAGUUCGGUAGCAGCGGACAGCGGCUGGAAGAACGCAUCAGGGAUCGAGAAGGCAUAACACCCUAACCAAGAUAUAUUUUUUUAAAGUAGCGUUUAUUUUCAUGACAGUCAAGAUGCGACAUGUUGUCUUUCGUAGCUUUUUACUGUAUCCGUAAGAAUCAUAGACAGUAAAAGAUAAGAAAUCCGUAAGUCGUAGCAAGGUAGCCAAUGCUUGUCAAUAGCCUACUGGUACUCGGUAGGUCCUCAAGAUGGCGGCAUGACGUAAAAGGUCACAUGACUGAAAUCUAUCUAUACUGCAGGGACAACCUUGCAGUCAUAUGCAAAGGAUUUGCUGAAAUUUCUUUCAUCCUGCCCCCAGCUGAAAUCGAAAAUUGAAAAAAUGAAGGCAGGAAACAAGCUGUUGCCUAUAAAAAAACAAAUUUAGGGGUUAAUUAUUUUCAAAUAAUUAAAUUGAUGUUCUUUUGUUAAAUUGUUCAUUCAUCGUUAGUUGUUUUGACAGUUUCUUGUUAUUCUUUUAAAAUUGUUAGUAUUUAAUAUGUUAUAGUUUGGAUAAAUAUUUUUGUUUUAAAUAAACUUGUUUUGG
This is a long non-coding RNA of Paramisgurnus dabryanus, 2021 nucleotides long. RefSeq lists it as uncharacterized. Lineage: Eukaryota; Metazoa; Chordata; Actinopteri; Cypriniformes; Cobitidae. The record is from RefSeq and is a predicted model, not a curated record.